GUUUGAUUUUUAUACUUCAUAACUUUUUUUUUUAUUUAUACUUUAUUAGAUACCUACCAAUUACAAUAAUAUAAUAUAAUUAUAUAAAAUACUAUUAUUUUACUUUUAAUCUAAUUAAUAUCUGAUAUUAAUCAAAUACCUAUAUUCUAUAGGUAAAGUUAGUUAAACCUUAGUUAAUACUUAAUUGAUAUAGGCUGUAUAGUAUAAACUGUAUAGCAGCGGUUCCCAAACUGUGAGGUGCGAGCAGUGUUAUUUUGUCAUAACAAUAAAAAUAUUUGUAUGUUUAAAUACUUUAAAUUUGUUAUUUAUUUAUUUAUGGGAGGAGCAAUUUUUUAUUUUUUUAUUUUUAGGGUGGCGUAAACUAAAAAAAUUUGGGAACCGCUGCUGUAUAGGGUAUGCAAUGCAGGGGUGUAGGAGCUUAGCGGAUAGAACCUCAUGUUGAUGUCUUAAAUUUUUUAAUUUUAUAAAUUGAUAAAUUAUUAAAAAUAUUGAAUAAUAAUUAACAAUUGCAUUAUAAACUGUAAUAAUUUAAUAAUGUUUUUGAAAUCUACAAACAACUAAUUCACCCUUCAAACGACUUACCAUAUUUGUGUCACAGGCGCAGAUCCAGAACAUAUUUACGGGGGGGAUAGUAGUGCAUCUCGAAUAUAAUAUCGCUAAUAACGCUAUCAGAAAAACAAUGCAUUUUAUUUUAAAUAGAUAUUUUUUUCAAUUUACCAGUCUACGGGAGGGGGGCAUGGCUCCUUGACCCCUCCCCACCCCUUUGGAUCCACGUGCAACUUGUGAUAGAUCACGUAAAGGAUAGGUAGUAAGGAGAUAAUUCUUGAUUAGGAAUAAAAAAUGUUUUUAGCUAUUGAAAAUUAAAAAAAAUUACAGAAAAAAUAAUCACAUAAUUUUUUUUUUAUUAAACAAUACAAAAAACAAAUAUACAAUGUUAUAAUGACAGAUGUAUCACAAAGUCCUAAUGUGAUACUAUAUUAAGUAUGUAGUUCUUACCUUACCUAUUUUUUGUGUUUAUGUAUAUGGUAUAUCGUAUGUGUAUCAUAGAAAAGAAAGUAAACGCCUGGUUAUCGUAUCGCUAUAAUGAAUUCCCGUACUACAUUCCUGCGAUAUCCGUCUGCAUUACAGCUGUCGCUUGUAAACACUUCCCCCAUGUAACUUAGGGGUAGGUUCCGGCGUAAGUUACGAUUAGCCACCCACUGUGGUGGAAUGGGUAAUUCUGAGGUUGGUGAUAUCAUACACCAUGUUGCAUGGUCUGCGUUUGGGCCGGAAUCUUUCAUUGGCUGAGAGCAAAAGAAAAUAGCUUUGCCAAAAGAGCUAGCUGGAUUUUUUGAUACGGAUGUUGUUCUUAUAAAUGACAGGAGGUUUAUUUGUUUUUCAGUGGUUAGGGACCGACUUAUUAUUGUUUGAGACUUGGAUCCAAUUAUACUCAGUUCUGAGAAAAUCACGUUACAGACUUCAAACCCUCUAUUGUUUUGUAUAAUACUAGAUAUCGUUAUUAAUAAAUCGAAGUUCAUAGCAGUGUUGGCAGUGGCGUAGCUAGACAAUUUUUCUUAGAUAGGCCCGAUAUUUUGAUGGAAUAAGGAUUAUCAAUUAAUAUUUUUAUUUAAUAAAAAACAUGAUAUAAAACAUUCAUUUUUGGAGAAAAGUGGGUAGGCCUGAGCCUACCUGCUGGCUACGCCACUGAUAAUGAUCCCGAUUGGAAUACACAUCAAUUUGAAAAUCGAAAACGACCAUGCUCAGCGAUGUCAACAAUAUUAGUCGUCCGUCGUCUUCAUUGUCGGAAUAUAGACCAGAUCCGGUUAUGUAGGUGUGUUGCCCAAUCUGAGACCUAACUCUAGUCUGUCCGUUCGUUCCAACACUUCGGACGAAAAAAAAACAUCAACUAGAACACAUUUCAGAUUGUUCAUAUGGUCCCAUAAAGAGCUGAUAAGUAGACCUUUGACCAGGACGUUUGUCCAGUCACCCGGUUCGAAAAUUGAAAAAACCUCAUUGAUGUACGAUAGAGAUGAAACCCUCUGCCAUAAAUGUAAUACUUGAGAAUAUCGUUUAAGACAAAUCGAUAAUAUAAUACCUAAACCAAAAUUAUCAAGAGGUAUAUUUAUGAAAGGAGCUGAUAAUAUAAACAAUGGACAUUUAAACAAGGUAAAAUGAAGAAAUUAUACACAUUACUCACUUAAUAGUUAAUAUAAUAAAUCAUGUUGAUUAACACAAGUUUAUUAUUAUUAUUAGGAAACUCUAAAUAAGCGUUAAGACCAACUAAAGCAAACAUCCGACCAAGCCCGGAUUAAGGGGGAGCCAGGGGGGUCAUGUCCCCGGGGCCCACGUGUGUAAAGGGCCCAGUCUUCUCAGCUUAAAAUUACAUCGAGUGAUAAUUUGUACAUUUUAUAAUACCAACAAUAAUAUUUAAAUUUUUUUUUUGUUUGAAUUAAGAGGCUAGAACAAAGCUAGGUUAGGUAACAAAGCUAGAAAAAAAACUUGUACAUAAAAAUACUUCAUUUUAUUUAUAAAAAUGUAUUUUAAUAAAAAAUAAUGUUUUAAAUUAAAUUUGUUUUAUUGUAUACUUUUAUAAUUUUAAAGAAUAAUUAUUGUUUUCAUUGAUAGGGGCCCACAACCAUGUAUUGGUCUUUGGGCCCCUGAAGGUCUUAAUCCGGGCUUGCAUCCGACUAUAACUAUAAUACUGCAAAAUAAUUAUUAAAUUCUCCAGGUUCGUCAUCGCCAAUUACGUCUGCGUGCGUUAUUGCCUCGGAAAGCACUCCGAGACAGGGAAUCUCCUCGUACAGGUUGUGCAGCGAGUCGUCGAAUCCGGGUCCUGGGGGCUGGAGAAUUCCGUAUAGUAGCCUCCUCUACCGCCAAUUUGUUUUUGAGGAAGGGUAGGGAAUGUGGCGUAUAGAUGUUGUCCUAGUGUAGUCACCACAUUGCCGAGUUGUUCCAACUGCAACAUGACGGGCUUCGGCACAUAAAAAGAUAGUGAAUGGAUCAAAUUCAGUAUCUCCAUCUCUGCUCUGUCAACCGGUUGAGAAUUCUUCUGCUUAAUUGUUAUCAUACGCAUCCAAAUACACGCAGUAAUAUAAUAGUCCAAGUAUUCGGGCAAUAGCACUUGGUAUAGAGAUGGAUUGUAGAUAAGUAACUGUGCGUAGACCAUGCGGGACACUUCGAUGGCUGCCGGAACGGAUGAUGUAAAUAAUGUAUUGCGGCACACUUCGUGUGCUUCCAGUUCCAUAAUCGUGUUCGAAAACAUGGUUUUAUAUAUGAGUAUAAAAUGUUAAGUACCUAGUACCGUUUAUGCCGAAUGAUGCGAAAAAUGGCGAUGAUCAAAAGCGACGUAAUUACUAAAGAGUACCGAGUAACACUUCACUUGUGUUAAUGUGUUCACUAUAAUAUAUUAAUAUAUUAUAUAUGAUGACGCGAUGGCGAUCGAACGCGACCCGGUGGCUAUAGGUAUUAUAGAGCAAUUCUAUGUGAGCUGAACUCGACAACCGACGAUGGCCGACGCGACACGUAGUUGCAGGACAAAGUGUCAAACGCAAUACCGACGAUUCCGUGCGAGUGCACAACACGCUUAUUAGUUAGGUAUUAUACACGCUGAAAACUAAGACGUUUUAAAUAUAAUGUGUAGAUAAAAAAAAAAUAAACCGGAAGUAGCAUGGUACACUUAUCCAUGAGCGAAUGGAGUAUAAUAUUAAUUAUUAAGCGAAUCGCGAUAACGAUCAAAUACUGUAAACGAUAGUGGUGGAAAAAUAACAGUCGAGCUUAUUGGUUUUAAAUAAUUUAGUCGCAAAUAAAAAAAAUAUAGUGUUGGAAACUCAU
Long non-coding RNA from Aphis gossypii (cotton aphid), 3810 nucleotides. RefSeq lists it as uncharacterized. The record is from RefSeq and is a predicted model, not a curated record. The transcript is spliced from 3 exons. Lineage: Eukaryota; Metazoa; Arthropoda; Insecta; Hemiptera; Aphididae.